GAGUUUGAUCGUGGCUCAGCACGAACGCUGGCGGCGUGCUUAACACAUGCAAGUCGAACGGUAAGGCUCCAGCUUGCUGGGGUACACGAGUGGCGAACGGGUGAGUAACACGUGGGUGACCUGCCCUGCACUUCGGGGAUAAGCCUGGGAAACUGGGUCUAAUACCGGAUAGGACCGCACCGUGAGGGUGUGGUGGAAAGUUUUUUCGGUGUGGGAUGGGCCCGCGGCCUAUCAGCUUGUUGGUGGGGUAAUGGCCUACCAAGGCGGCGACGGGUAGCCGGCCUGAGAGGGUGGACGGCCACAUUGGGACUGAGACACGGCCCAGACUCCUACGGGAGGCAGCAGUGGGGAAUAUUGCACAAUGGGCGGAAGCCUGAUGCAGCGACGCCGCGUGGGGGAUGACGGCCUCGGUUGUAAC
Molecule: ribosomal RNA, 418 nt
Filed under: uncultured microorganism
Description: bacterial SSU rRNA
Rfam family: Bacterial small subunit ribosomal RNA
Source: RNAcentral